UACGGAGGGGGCUAGCGUUGUUCGGAAUUACUGGGCGUAAAGCGCACGUAGGCGGAUCAGUUAGUCGGGGGUGAAAUCCCGGGGCUCAACCCCGGAACUGCCUUCGAUACUGCUGGUCUGGAGGUCGAGAGAGGCGAGUGGAAUUCCGAGUGUAGAGGUGAAAUUCGUAGAUAUUCGGAGGAACACCAGUGGCGAAGGCGGCUCGCUGGCUCGAUACUGACGCUGAGGUGCGAAAGCGUGGGGAGCAAACAGGAUUAGAAACCCCAGUAGUCC
RNAcentral lists this ribosomal RNA (273 nucleotides) under uncultured bacterium. RNAcentral's name for it is "partial 16S ribosomal RNA". It matches the Rfam family "Bacterial small subunit ribosomal RNA", at positions 524 to 796 of the family's 1533-position model. The record is from RNAcentral.